RNAcentral lists this ribosomal RNA (312 nucleotides) under Triticum aestivum (bread wheat). RNAcentral describes it as "partial small subunit ribosomal RNA". The record is from RNAcentral. Lineage: Eukaryota; Viridiplantae; Streptophyta; Magnoliopsida; Poales; Poaceae.
AUGUCUUUAGCAUGCUCUCUUGUCUGCGACCUCUUCCUGGGCUUCGCAACCAGCUUUGAGCAGGUCUACGCACUGGCCCCUCCGGCCAGGUCUACCUCGACAAGUGCUACAUUACCUACAGCUACUACCCCCAUGACGGCGGCCUCGGAGCUGCAGCUCACCCACGAAGGUCUCUCCCUCCUCUCUUGUGCAAGAUGCUCCCAUUGGUUUUGUUUAGACAAGAAGAACGAGAACAAGGAGGUGGCUGUCAAUGACUUCCUACCUUCAGAAGAUGCCUACAAGGCCAUCCAACACUCCAUGGAUCAGGGGUGA